AGAGUUUGAUCCUGGCUCAGGAUGAACGCUAGCGGCAGGCCUAAUACAUGCAAGUCGAGGGGCAUCGCGGGCAGCAAUGCCUGGCGGCGACCGGCGUACGGGUGCGUAACGCGUAUGCAACCUGCCCCCUACCGGGGGAUAGCCCGGGGAAACCCGGAUUAAUACCCCAUAGUACCUGGGCACGGCAUCGUGCUUUGGUUAAAGGUUUACCGGUAGGGGAUGGGCAUGCGUGCCAUUAGCUAGUUGGCGGGGUAACGGCCCACCAAGGCUACGAUGGCUAGGGGGCCUGAGAGGGUGGUCCCCCACACUGGCACUGAGAUACGGGCCAGACUCCUACGGGAGGCAGCAGUAGGGAAUAUUGGUCAAUGGGCGGGAGCCUGAACCAGCCAUGCCGCGUGCAGGAAGACGGCCUUCUGGGUUGUAAACUGCUUUUAUACGGGAAGAAAACGCCCAUGCGUGGGCAAUUGACGGUACCGUAGGAAUAAGCACCGGCUAACUCCGUGCCAGCAGCCGCGGUAAUAC
This 522-nucleotide ribosomal RNA is filed under the name uncultured Flexibacteraceae bacterium. RNAcentral's name for it is "bacterial SSU rRNA". It matches the Rfam family "Bacterial small subunit ribosomal RNA", at positions 8 to 526 of the family's 1533-position model. Lineage: Bacteria; Pseudomonadati; Bacteroidota; Cytophagia; Cytophagales; Cytophagaceae. The record is from RNAcentral.